GCCCGCGUGGUGAAAUGGUAGACACAGGGGACUUAAAAUCCCUCGGCUGCAAGGCCUUGCCGGUUCAAGUCCGGCCGCGGGCACCA
RNAcentral lists this transfer RNA (86 nucleotides) under Rhodobacterales bacterium. RNAcentral describes it as "tRNA-Leu". It matches the Rfam family "tRNA". Rfam says of the family: Transfer RNA (tRNA) molecules are approximately 80 nucleotides in length. The record is from RNAcentral. Lineage: Bacteria; Pseudomonadati; Pseudomonadota; Alphaproteobacteria; Rhodobacterales.